Molecule: transfer RNA, 71 nt
Filed under: Bos taurus (domestic cattle)
Lineage: Eukaryota; Metazoa; Chordata; Mammalia; Artiodactyla; Bovidae
Also listed under: 2 other names
Rfam family: tRNA
About the family: Transfer RNA (tRNA) molecules are approximately 80 nucleotides in length.
Source: Rfam by way of RNAcentral
UCCUGGUGGCUCAGAUGGCAAAGAGUCUGCCUGUAAAGCAGGAGACCCAGGUUUGAUCCCUGGGUCGGGAA